RNAcentral lists this non-coding RNA (31 nucleotides) under Mus musculus (house mouse). Lineage: Eukaryota; Metazoa; Chordata; Mammalia; Rodentia; Muridae. The record is from RNAcentral.
UGCACAUUUUAUAAAAAAUCAGUAGUCUGUU